GAAGGUGGGGACGACGUCAAGUCAGCAUGCCCCUUAUACCCUGGGCUACACACGUGCUACAUUGGGUAGGACAAUGAGACGCCAAACCGUGAGGUCGAGCUAAUCUACAAACCUACUCUAAGUUCGGAUUGGAGGCUGCAACUCGCCUCCAUGAAGUUGGAAUCGCUAGUAAUCGCUGGUCAGCAACACAGCGGUGAAUCCGUUCCCGGGCCUUGUACACACCG
Molecule: ribosomal RNA, 224 nt
Filed under: Pelagomonas calceolata
Lineage: Eukaryota; Pelagophyceae; Pelagomonadales; Pelagomonadaceae
Description: partial Bacterial small subunit ribosomal RNA
Rfam family: Bacterial small subunit ribosomal RNA
Source: RNAcentral